Molecule: ribosomal RNA, 491 nt
Filed under: uncultured bacterium
Lineage: Bacteria
Description: partial 16S ribosomal RNA
Rfam family: Bacterial small subunit ribosomal RNA
Source: RNAcentral
AGUGAACGCUGGCGGUAGGCCUAACACAUGCAAGUCGAACGGCAGCACAGUAAGAGCUUGCUCUUACGGGUGGCGAGUGGCGGACGGGUGAGGAAUACAUCGGAAUCUACUUUUUCGUGGGGGAUAACGUAGGGAAACUUACGCUAAUACCGCAUACGACCUACGGGUGAAAGCAGGGGAUCUUCGGACCUUGCGCGAUUGAAUGAGCCGAUGUCGGAUUAGCUAGUUGGCGGGGUAAAGGCCCACCAAGGCGACGAUCCGUAGCUGGUCUGAGAGGGGGAUCAGCCACACUGAAACUGAGACGCGGUCCAGGCUCCUACGGAAGGCAGCGGUGGGGAAUAUUGGCAAAUGGGGGCAAGCCUGAUCCAGCCAUGCCGCGUGGGUGAAGAAGGCCUUCGGGUUGUAAGCCCGUUUGUUGGGAAAGAAAAGCAGCAGGUUAAUACCCCGCUGUUCUGACGGUACCCAAAGAAUAAGCACCGGCUAACUUCGUG